GACGUCGAUAUUCGACGUCAUAAACACGAUCAACUUUGGUGUUUAUGACGUCGAUAUUCGACGUCAUAAACACGGUCAACUUUGGUGUUUAUGACGUCGAUAUUCGACGUCAUAAACACGAUCAACUUUGGCGUUUAUGACGUCGAUAUUCGACGUCAUAAACACGAUCAACUUUGGUGUUUAUGACGUCGAUAUUCGACGUCAUAAACAGGAUCAACUUUGGUGUUUAUGACGUCGAUAUUCGACGUC
Molecule: microRNA precursor, 249 nt
Filed under: Paramuricea clavata
Lineage: Eukaryota; Metazoa; Cnidaria; Anthozoa; Malacalcyonacea; Plexauridae
Source: RNAcentral